Molecule: long non-coding RNA, 320 nt
Filed under: Elaeis guineensis (African oil palm)
Lineage: Eukaryota; Viridiplantae; Streptophyta; Magnoliopsida; Arecales; Arecaceae
Description: long non-coding RNA (EGUI_LNC015243)
Source: RNAcentral
CCUGUUGGAUGGCCCAAUUAUUCAAACCCUCUGCUGCCUACUGGCAUCCUACUCACUACUCCAUUGAUCGUAGAGGGUCUCCCGUAUGUCUACCCACAUCCAGUGAUCUCUGUAGGACUUUCAGUCCGAUGGUGAUUAUUAAUCAAAAUGCUUGAUGGCAGACUGCCGUAUGCUGUGUAGCCCAUCUCGAAACCUAUGUGUGGCCACUUGCUUGAAGAUUGGAUAGCCAGCCUCCUCAUCCUAAGGAGAUAAAAAUCGAUGUAUCCCUGCAAGUAGAAGCAAGCGUGUAUUAAUAAAUAGAAUAUAAAUCUACUAUGAAU